CCAAUUAGAAAUCUCUCCCAUAAUAAUUCAAACAUUCAUUCUCCAAUCUAAAUAAACAAAACAACCUACACUUAACGCAUAAAAAUCUGCAGGCUGCGGCCAUGUAUUACCAUUAAAGAAUUCACCGGCGGUGGUAUUUGUAGAGAUCCUUAGUAAUGAUUCAUCGGUAGCGGGAACCAAAUGUCCUUGAAUUGCUUUAAUCCGUCGCUCAGCCCUUGAUUCCAUUCAGAUUUUUCUUCUUUUUCUAAUCUGUUUCUGAAUUCAACAGAGUAAUCGAAUUUCUACUUGCAUUACAAUUUACAGAUGCAGAGAAGAAGCAAACAUGUAUUGAAAAUAACAUAAAUAUAUAAGAAAAAAUAUCAUCCAAUGAAACCAAAAAGAGAAAUGGAUUUUGGCACACCUUACAACGUCGUGACGAUAAUAUAGUCAGAGAUGGCCGAGAAUUGGAGGAGGAUGAGGAUGGUAUUUCUAAACUUUUCUUCAACUUUUUAACAAGUGUGACUUUGGGGUCCUCAAC
RNAcentral lists this long non-coding RNA (517 nucleotides) under Olea europaea (common olive). RNAcentral describes it as "long non-coding RNA (OEUR_LNC011321)". Lineage: Eukaryota; Viridiplantae; Streptophyta; Magnoliopsida; Lamiales; Oleaceae. The record is from RNAcentral.